This 19-nucleotide unclassified non-coding RNA is filed under the name Mus musculus (house mouse). RNAcentral's name for it is "oocyte_clustered_small_RNA8550". The record is from RNAcentral. Lineage: Eukaryota; Metazoa; Chordata; Mammalia; Rodentia; Muridae.
UCCUGCAACAAACAUCAUG